GGUUAAGCGACUAAGCGUACACGGUGGAUGCCCUGGCAGUCAGAGGCGAUGAAGGACGUGCUAAUCUGCGAUAAGCGUCGGUGAGGUGAUAUGAACCGUUAUAACCGGCGAUUUCCGAAUGGGGAAACCCAGUGUGUUUCGACACACUAUCAUUAACUGAAUCCAUAGGUUAAUGAGGCGAACCGGGGGAACUGAAACAUCUAAGUACCCCGAGGAAAAGAAAUCAACCGAGAUUCCCCCAGUAGCGGCGAGCGAACGGGGAGGAGCCCAGAGCCUGAAUCAGUGUGUGUGUUAGUGGAAGCGUCUGGAAAGGCGCGCGAUACAGGGUGACAGCCCCGUACACAAAAAUGCACAUAUUGUGAGCUCGAUGAGUAGGGCGGGACACGUGGUAUCCUGUCUGAAUAUGGGGGGACCAUCCUCCAAGGCUAAAUACUCCUGACUGACCGAUAGUGAACCAGUACCGUGAGGGAAAGGCGAAAAGAACCCCGGCGAGGGGAGUGAAAAAGAACCUGAAACCGUGUACGUACAAGCAGUGGGAGCCUCUUAAUGGGGUGACUGCGUACCUUUUGUAUAAUGGGUCAGCGACUUAUAUUCUGUAGCAAGGUUAACCGAAUAGGGGAGCCGAAGGGAAACCGAGUCUUAACUGGGCGUUAAGUUGCAGGGUAUAGACCCGAAACCCGGUGAUCUAGCCAUGGGCAGGUUGAAGGUUGGGUAACACUAACUGGAGGACCGAACCGACUAAUGUUGAAAAAUUAGCGGAUGACUUGUGGCUGGGGGUGAAAGGCCAAUCAAACCGGGAGAUAGCUGGUUCUCCCCGAAAGCUAUUUAGGUAGCGCCUCGUGAAUUCAUCUCCGGGGGUAGAGCACUGUUUCGGCAAGGGGGUCAUCCCGACUUACCAACCCGAUGCAAACUGCGAAUACCGGAGAAUGUUAUCACGGGAGACACACGGCGGGUGCUAACGUCCGUCGUGAAGAGGGAAACAACCCAGACCGCCAGCUAAGGUCCCAAAGUCAUGGUUAAGUGGGAAACGAUGUGGGAAGGCCCAGACAGCCAGGAUGUUGGCUUAGAAGCAGCCAUCAUUUAAAGAAAGCGUAAUAGCUCACUGGUCGAGUCGGCCUGCGCGGAAGAUGUAACGGGGCUAAACCAUGCACCGAAGCUGCGGCAGCGACACUAUGUGUUGUUGGGUAGGGGAGCGUUCUGUAAGCCUGUGAAGGUGGCCUGUGAGGGUUGCUGGAGGUAUCAGAAGUGCGAAUGCUGACAUAAGUAACGAUAAAGCGGGUGAAAAGCCCGCUCGCCGGAAGACCAAGGGUUCCUGUCCAACGUUAAUCGGGGCAGGGUGAGUCGACCCCUAAGGCGAGGCCGAAAGGCGUAGUCGAUGGGAAACAGGUUAAUAUUCCUGUACUUGGUGUUACUGCGAAGGGGGGACGGAGAAGGCUAUGUUGGCCGGGCGACGGUUGUCCCGGUUUAAGCGUGUAGGCUGGUUUUCCAGGCAAAUCCGGAAAAUCAAGGCUGAGGCGUGAUGACGAGGCACUACGGUGCUGAAGCGACAAAUGCCCUGCUUCCAGGAAAAGCCUCUAAGCAUCAGGUAACAUCAAAUCGUACCCCAAACCGACACAGGUGGUCAGGUAGAGAAUACCAAGGCGCUUGAGAGAACUCGGGUGAAGGAACUAGGCAAAAUGGUGCCGUAACUUCGGGAGAAGGCACGCUGAUAUGUAGGUGAAGCGACUUGCUCGUGGAGCUGAAAUCAGUCGAAGAUACCAGCUGGCUGCAACUGUUUAUUAAAAACACAGCACUGUGCAAACACGAAAGUGGACGUAUACGGUGUGACGCCUGCCCGGUGCCGGAAGGUUAAUUGAUGGGGUUAGCGGUAACGCGAAGCUCUUGAUCGAAGCCCCGGUAAACGGCGGCCGUAACUAUAACGGUCCUAAGGUAGCGAAAUUCCUUGUCGGGUAAGUUCCGACCUGCACGAAUGGCGUAAUGAUGGCCAGGCUGUCUCCACCCGAGACUCAGUGAAAUUGAACUCGCUGUGAAGAUGCAGUGUACCCGCGGCAAGACGGAAAGACCCCGUGAACCUUUACUAUAGCUUGACACUGAACAUUGAGCCUUGAUGUGUAGGAUAGGUGGGAGGCUUUGAAGUGUGGACGCCAGUCUGCAUGGAGCCGACCUUGAAAUACCACCCUUUAAUGUUUGAUGUUCUAACGUGGGCCCCUUACCGGGGUUGCGGACAGUGUCUGGUGGGUAGUUUGACUGGGGCGGUCUCCUCCUA
Molecule: ribosomal RNA, 2266 nt
Filed under: Escherichia coli ISC41
Lineage: Bacteria; Pseudomonadati; Pseudomonadota; Gammaproteobacteria; Enterobacterales; Enterobacteriaceae
Description: LSU rRNA
Rfam family: Bacterial large subunit ribosomal RNA
Source: RNAcentral